GUGAAUGGGUAACUCAACUUCCUCUUUUGCCCCCUGGCAGGUGCUGCCUGGGGCCUUUGCUUGGGGCCUAUGAGAUUACAUCUGGGAUAGGAGCAGCACCAGAAGAACGUCCUGUCCACAGCCUCCUGGAGUCCUAAGUCAUCAUCCCCACACAUCCAGAGAGUGCCAAGUGCCAGCAAUGUUAUGUAUUAAUAUUAUUCACUUCAACUUUAAAAAGCUACCUCAUUUCAUCAUAGACUCACACAACUACUCAGUAACAGAAUUUAUAAUUCCCUCUCCCACGCCUGCGAGUUGUUUUUUUUUUCCCCAUUAAAGAGGAAGUAGAGAUUCAGAAGUUAACUUGUCAAAGUUCACACCUUCAAAAAUGACUGUCAAGUUUCAACUCAGAGCUGCUUGGAUCCAAAAUAGGAAGCAAAGACCAACAAUGAUAAAGGAAGGUUUGUAAACCUCCAGUGACAUUAAGAAACCAAGCUCUUCUGGAUGAAAAUGAGAGAAGUCGUCUAUGUGGUGAAAAGUAUUUACAUCGGUUAAGAUCAUUCCCAGAACCUCAGAAGAACACUCCUGAGGGUUACUACUCUUCUGUCCUGCAUCAUCUUGGGUCAGGGGUUGGUAAACUACAGCCAGUGGACCAAGUCUGGCCCAUCACCUAGGGCUCACGAGGAAUGUAGACUUGACAUAUGGAGCUGCACCAGCCAUCUUACAACCAUGAAGAGACUAACAGUCAUGGAGUGGAGAAGGAUAAGAGCUGAGACUUUGGCGAUACCAUCUGCCUCACAUUGCCUGCCUUGAACUGCUUGUCACAUGAGAAAGAUGAACUCCUAUUUGUUUCAGCAACCAUAAGUUGAGUUUCAUGUUAUUUACUAUUGAAUGCAUUCCAAGUUGACAUCCCAUCCAUGGGAUAAGCCUCACCUUCCCCCAUGAUGUUUUAAUAUAAUAGCCUGAUGAACCAAAGGAAAAAAUAUUGUACCUGUCAGAAAAACAAUAGAGAGUGAAGCUUUGUAAUGUAUAAUCAGCUUUGUAAAUUGUGAAGCACAAGUCAUGCUCGCAAAUUGUGAAACAUAAAUUUCUAUGUAUCCACAACAGUAUAAGAAUGAUAAAUGCACAGAAACAGACAAAAAGAAGAGAACAGCCUGUAGAUUAGACUGUUAUUCACCAUAUAUUCAUUCUUUCCCACUCCAUGUCCCCAAAACUCCAUGGAAAAAGUGUAUUUCCCUUCCACAUUGAUGUUAAACUUGGCCAUGUGAUUUGCUUCGGUCAGUGGGCUGUGGGCAGAAGUGACAGCCAUAGUGUAGGCCUUAAAAGAUAUCAGGUGUUUGUGCUCUACACUCUUGCGCUUCUGUCUUCACCAUGAGAAGGACAUACCUUGAGUAAGCUGCUGAUCUAAUGAGGAUGAGAGAUCUGUGGAGCUGAAAUGAACUGAACCGAGAGCUAGAGUCAAGCCCAGCCAGACGCUUACUGACUUCAGGACGCAUGAAUAAGAAGUAAGUAUUUGUUACUAUACAUCACUGGGUUUUUGAGGGAGGUUGCUAUGCAGCAUUAGUAUUGUAAUAACUAACUGAUACACAACCCUGAGAGCAUAAUCUCACAAAAUAAACUAUAGUUAUUUUAAUUUUUUAAACAAAUAUUAGUAUUGUCAUGACCUAUAACAACAUUCUA
This is a long non-coding RNA of Bubalus bubalis (water buffalo), 1656 nucleotides long. RefSeq lists it as uncharacterized. Lineage: Eukaryota; Metazoa; Chordata; Mammalia; Artiodactyla; Bovidae. The transcript has 5 exons. The record is from RefSeq and is a predicted model, not a curated record.